UUCGGCAUUGUUCUUGCUGCCGCACUGAGGAAAAAAAGGCAAGAGAAAGAAAAAAAGAUGUCGGCGACCGCCGUGGGGGAGGAGAAAAAAAAAGAGGUUUACCGGUGUGGACGCAAAAAGAACGGCGGUGCAGAGGAAAAAAGGGCGAGUGAUCACGUCGCGACUAUGGCACCAGACGACCGCGACGGGCGCUCCCAAAGCAUCAGCCAAAACUGGUCCUCGGCGGCGCAUCGCCCAUCAAUGCCACAUUCCGCACGGGAGCAGGCGUAACGGACAAAGUCCUUGGCCGUGCACAGGUAGGGCGCGUGCUGGGCCAGGGCAUCCACCAAUGCUAUGCGCACGGGCAUGCUCCGGCAGAGAUCGACCAAGUGUGACGGCCAUGGCAUGGACGCGAGCCGGUGGCCAAAGUGUGCGGAAAUGCGUCCGAUGGCGCGAUGGCUUCCUGCGUCUACUGCGCCGGCUAGCGCGUGGCGUAUUGUGUCGUCGUCGUGGUGAUGCUCGGCGACAAGGCGGUUGAAAAGAUUGUCGUCCUUGAGGUCGGCGGCGUGCUUUAACAUGGUCUGAUGGGAACACGCAUCAGCGCAAUGGGCAAACAAGGCGUCGACAUCCAUCGGUUCGUGUGACCUGCGCGUGGGCGCCAGGCUCAGCCCGCAGCAGCCGGCGCCGCCUCGACAUACGCCAAUGUCCUUUCUGUCGCAAAGUAGACGCACAAGAUCGUGGCGACUGUUGACGAUGGCUACACGCAUGGCCAUGCGCGGGCACGCGUCGGCACAGUGAUCACACAGAAAGGUCACCAUGUCGUCGCACCCCAAUGAGAUCGCAUUGAUGAUGGCCACGCGACCACCGCCCACGCCGAGGCCGCACACAAAUUGCACGACAUCGAGACGCCGCGAGCGUACUGCGCUCGCGACAAAAUCGCAUGGCCACAGGCCGUAGCCGCGCUCGGCUAGGAAGCGCAGGAUGCCUAGGCUACCACGAUGCGCUGCGUAUCUUGCAUGGUGCCAUUGCACCACUGAGAUGACAUCCUCUUUGUCGUUGCUGUCGAGGAAAAUGCGCAGCAGAUCCACGUCGUCAUACGCCACAAUGUGGUCAAUGCAGGUGUCGUGGGUAAUAUGGCCUUUGCAAUGCGCCAGUGCAAAGACGAGCACGUCGGCGACGGGCGCGCCGUCAAGGCACUGCGGGCGGGGUAGACGUCUUGUCGCAAAAAUCCAACCGAUGGCUGCGGCGCCCGCCAAAUCGCCGCCCUCGGCAAACCACUGGGCAACCGUCGAGACGAGUUCCUCGGAUGCAGCAUCGCCCCACAUGACACGCGCCAUGCCGAUGGCCUUGUCGAGCGGGACAAUAUGUUUCGCGUGGCGUCGCAUCAACGCGUUGGCUUCACUGCAGGCUGGACCUCGUUGCAACAGCACCGGGUCGUCCACGCGAUCGGCGAUGCCCAAAGGCAGGCAACCGAGCACAAUAUGGCGGUCGCGCGAUCGAUCGACACACAUGGUGGUGACUGCGCGCUCCAGACGUGCGCGCACGUCCGUGUCAUCGGUACCGCCCUCGGCCACUUGCAGGACAACGGCCAAGGCCUCGGAAUUCAGGGUGCCGUGUUUGACGAGCAAUAGAGCAAAUCGGGCAUCGCGUGAUCGGCCUACUGGAUCUAUAGCCGCGCGGCGAAACAGUGCGUGCGCGAGGCUCCGCGUCGUCAUGCCCAUGCGCUCGACAGCAAAGAGAAAAGCGUCGGUACAAUCGUUUGCGAUGGCCGCACUCGCCACGCAAAACAUAUCAUUGCCGGGCGCUGCCGUGUCGAGCAUGCGCAAGAGGUCGACGCGCGCCAACUGCGCAGCCUCGACGAAUGCGUGCCUGGAGACCCGGUAGCCUUGGUCGAGAAGAAAUGCGACGGUCGCCGCCGAGCCCGACCUCACGGCGGCAACAAGAAUUCGCGGACCGCAGGCGACCGCCCUGUGGAUGAUGGCGGGGCGGUGCGGCGCGUCCGUGUGCUCGUACAGCCAGCGCACAUUGUCGACACGACCGACAGACGCCGCGGCGUAGAUGGCCGCCGAGUCAAAGCGCUCUUUGCGCGUGCGCCGAAAAUAGUCGAGGGCGUCGGGCGAGAGAUGGCGUGCUGCCGCGACAGCCGUACGGCAGCGGCGGCACUGCCGCUCCAGCACGUGGGCGCGCGAGUAGACGGAAAACAGGCGCGCUGCACAAAGGCACGCCAAAAAGUCGCGAUCAUCAGCGACAGCACAAAGGACGUGGAAAAUGACCUCGCGCGGCAGGGUCUCCAUCAGGUGCUACUAGAAAAAAAAAUGUAAAACAAAACUCGCCCUGGGAUGAGAGCCUCUCUUUUUUUUGCCCUAUGCGCGUGCAAAGCGGCCCGGCUCCUGGCUCGCGCAAUCGAAUCUGCUGAAUCGCACAGUUUUCCUGUACGACCAAUGGUUAUCAGAAAAAACAUCUGGGCCAACGCGAC
RNAcentral lists this long non-coding RNA (2455 nucleotides) under Pandoravirus quercus. RNAcentral describes it as "hypothetical ncRNA". The record is from RNAcentral.